Long non-coding RNA from Dromaius novaehollandiae (emu), 767 nucleotides. RefSeq lists it as uncharacterized. The record is from RefSeq and is a predicted model, not a curated record. NCBI's taxonomy places the organism in Eukaryota, Metazoa, Chordata, Aves, Casuariiformes, Dromaiidae. The transcript has 2 exons.
AUUUCAAUCACGUACUGUGGAGCUGCUUCUUUGAAAGGGGAAGGGGGGAGGGAAAGGGGGGGGAAAAAAAAAGACAUUGCACACAAUUAGCAGGCAUGCGAAGGCUGUAACACUUUGCGUUUCAACCUUCUCGAAAGGCUGCUCGUCCUUCCCAAAAGCAGGUACUGGAGGUGGGAAGUCUGCCCAAGAGCCAGCGGCCCCAGAGCACAGGCAGCGCAACCGUGCCAGCAGCGAUCUCCUCUCCAGCAGUCCAAUUGCUUGGACCGGGCUUAAAACCGACAACAACAACAACAACAUCGACAUCCUCGUUUACCUGUUGCCAAUACUCCUCCAGGGACGGCAAGGCUGAGAAGUAACCCGUGUCGUGCACAAUCUGGAGUUCCUGGAAGAUGCUGCACAUUGGGAGAACAUCCAUGUCUCAAGUUGCAACAACAAAGUCAGUGCUGGUUACAAAAAUACAGAUGCCUCCUUUAUGUGCAGGGGUGAGGGGUGUGUGCGGGGGGGAUGUCAAACCUCUUGUCUCAGUUUCCAAGCCCCCCCCUUUUCGCCAGAGAAGAAGAAGAAAAAAAAAUGUAUAUAGAGAUAUAUAUUAAUUCCUUUAGGAGCUUAAGGAGGAAAAAAGACCCGAAGUUUCAUGCAAAGUUUAAUUGCACAGCAAUGUAGGACGUCUCCAAAGGCUGCCGCUGCGGCUCUCCCCUCCCGCGGCUGGCGGAGGACACUUGCGCAGGAGCGUACACAAUAUUUGCAAACACGGCGCUGACUGCAAA